AGGGCUAUAUUAUUAAUAAGGUAAAGUUAUUUUUUUUUAAAAGAAGUAUUUUUUUGUUUUAUUAAAAUUUUGAAAGAAUAAAUAUAAUUAUAGAAUAAAAGUAUUGUGAGAGAAAUAUAAAAGUUAGUUUAAAGAAAAAUUAAAUUUUUGUACCUUGUGUAUCAGGGUUUAUCAAAAAAAAUUUUAUAAUUAAGAUUUCUCGAAUUUAAAAGAGUUAUAUAAAUAAAAUUAUUUUAUUGUGGUAUAAAUAUUAUUAAUAUUUAUAUGGAAGUGAAAUGUUAAACGAUUUUAAAUAUAUCUAGUUUUUUAAGAAAAAAAUUUAAUUUUAUUUUUAUUUUAUUAUUUUAUUAAAUUUUUAAUAGAAUUGUAAUAGAAUUUUAUGUUUUAAGGGAUGAGCUUUAAAACAAAAAGAUAAAAUUAUUUAUAAAUUUAUUAAUUAAGUUGGAAUAAAAGUUUUCAUUUUUUAUAGUGUUUUAUAACUAUAUUUAUAUAUAUAUAUAUAUAUAUAAUUUAUAUUUUAUUUAUUUUUUUUUAUUAAAAUUUAAAUUAAAAUUAGAAUUAUUUAGAAAUAAUGAUUAAAUUAGUAUAAUUUUUAUGUAAAAUUAAUUUUAUGUUUAAAGGUAAAGUAAAGGAAUUCGGCAAAAAAUAUUUUUCACCUGUUUAUUAAAAACAUGUCUUUUUGAUUAUAAUUUAAGGUUUAACCUGCCCAAUGAUUUUAAAUGGCCGCGGUAGCCUGACCGUGCAAAGGUAGCAUAAUCAUUAGUUUUUUAAUUGAAAGCUGGAAUGAAAGGUUGGAUGAAAAAAAUACUGUCUCUAUUUUAAUUUUUUAGAAUUUUAUUUUUAAGUAAAAAAGCUUAAAUUUUUAUAAAAGACGAGAAGACCCUAUAGAGUUUAAUAUUUAAAUUUUUGAAGUUUUUAGUAUUUAUAAAUUUAAGAUUGUAUAGUAUUUGGUUGGGGUGAUUGAAAAAUUAAAAAAACUUUUUUAAAAAGGAUUACAUUGAUAUUUGAAAACUUGAUCCUAAUUUUUAGAUUAAAAGAUAAAAUUACCUUAGGGAUAACAGCGUUAUUUUUUUUAGAGUUCUUAUUGAAUAAAAAGAUUGCGACCUCGAUGUUGGAUUAAAAAUAAUGUUUGGUGCAGUAGCUAAACUUUUAGGUCUGUUCGACCUUUAAAUUUUUACAUGAUCUGAGUUUAAACCGGUGUGAGCCAGGUUGGUUUCUAUCUUUAUAAGUAUAAAAUAUUUUAGUACGAAAGGAUUU
This 1257-nucleotide ribosomal RNA is filed under the name Coleoptera sp. ACP-2013. Its description in RNAcentral is "16S ribosomal RNA". The stretch from base 612 to 1257 matches the Rfam family "Archaeal large subunit ribosomal RNA", at positions 1423 to 2746 of the family's 2987-position model. The record is from RNAcentral. Lineage: Eukaryota; Metazoa; Arthropoda; Insecta; Coleoptera.